Molecule: non-coding RNA, 179 nt
Filed under: Solibacillus silvestris
Lineage: Bacteria; Bacillati; Bacillota; Bacilli; Caryophanales; Caryophanaceae
Also listed under: 1 other name
Description: Lysine sequence
Rfam family: Lysine riboswitch aptamer
About the family: Riboswitches are metabolite binding domains within certain messenger RNAs that serve as precision sensors for their corresponding targets. Allosteric rearrangement of mRNA structure is mediated by ligand binding, and this results in modulation of gene expression.
Source: RNAcentral
UACUAAGAUAGAGGUGCAGUAUUCAAUAGUACAUUGCUUGAGGAAGAACAAUUCCAUUGACAGCAAUCGAAAGGGGGUCCUGCCGAAGUGAAGUGCGUAUUGUUCGCGUAGUUUGCUGGUUUUGCAUUUAAGAGAUGUAAAACUGUCAGAGCUUUUUGUUCUGGAGGGCUAUCCUGAAA